GCGGGUGUAGCUCAAUGGCAGAGCAGCAGCUUCCCAAGCUGAAUACGAGGGUUCGAUUCCCUUCACCCGCUCCA
This 74-nucleotide transfer RNA is filed under the name Hyphomonas sp. Its description in RNAcentral is "tRNA-Gly". It matches the Rfam family "tRNA". Rfam says of the family: Transfer RNA (tRNA) molecules are approximately 80 nucleotides in length. Their secondary structure includes four short double-helical elements and three loops (D, anti-codon, and T loops). The record is from RNAcentral. Lineage: Bacteria; Pseudomonadati; Pseudomonadota; Alphaproteobacteria; Hyphomonadales; Hyphomonadaceae. RNAcentral also lists the same sequence under 71 other names.